Non-coding RNA from Amborella trichopoda, 4435 nucleotides. NCBI's taxonomy places the organism in Eukaryota, Viridiplantae, Streptophyta, Magnoliopsida, Amborellales, Amborellaceae. The record is from RefSeq and is a predicted model, not a curated record.
UAGAGCGAGCGAAGCUUUCGUUAAUGGAGGGCUCUGGUUUCCAUCAACCCCAAUUUUCAGAGGAUGUUGCUUGGCUUCCACCAUGGCUAAACCCACAUAAGUUAUCAUUGCACUUUGAGCAGGUUAAUGACACCCAAACCUUCUCUCAAGUGGCUCACAGGGAUCUGAAACAUAUCCAACGAAGUGAUGGACAAAAUACCUGCUCAUUCUUGAGGGGAGAAGUUGGGUUUAAUGGUUGUCUAUUUUUGUCAGGAGAAACCAAUUUAUCAUUGGAAAGGAGCCCGUCAAUGCAGAAUAUGGCACCUUUUCAUCUACAUCUUUCCUCAGAUUAUUAUGCAGAGCGCUCCUCGAGUCAAGUCCCCCAACUAAAUAUAUCUUUAGAAAACCGGACCCUUGAGGACAGGAGCAGUUUAGAUACUUUGAAGGGCUCCCACAUCUUGUCCCUGCAACCUAUUCCUCAAAUUCCAUUCAAUCCAAAUAAUAGAGGUUCCUCACGAAAUUUUGAGGAAUCCAUGCCACAAACUGUAAAACCAAAGAAAGCCAAGCAAUCCUCAUUAGCUCAUUUGGACAAAAGUUCUAAAGAUACCCAUCCAGUGUCGCUAGAUUCCAGGUACCUCAAAAGUGCUGAUAUGGAUGAUGCGGUUGAACUUAGCGUUGCAGCAUCUGAGGCUCUGGCUAUAUCUGACCUUGUUAAGAGCAGUUUUGGUUCUGAAUCUUACUCAUCUUCAGUUAUAUUGAAAAUUGCCCUUAAAGUAAAAAUGGCAAGAAAACAGUGUUGUGUGGACGAAUUUGAUGUUUCUUCUGCUUCGAUUGAGGAAUUCAAUGGGAAUAAUGAUCUCUCUGACUUGGAUGACAAUUCCAUGGCAGAUGCUUUUGAUGAUGUUGGCCUCUGCCCGGUCCAAAUUGUGAAUUCUGGUGUUAUUCCAUGCAGUAAUGCAGGAAUUCUUGAUAAUAAUACUUCACCCUUACAUCCAGAAAGAAAUGUUGGCCAAUGCCAUGAGUUUUUUUAUUCUUCUAAGCAGUCUCUUGUCAAAGAAUGCAGUUCAAAACUGCAGAACACCUGUAGUGCAUGCAAAAAUGAUACUCAUGUUUCCAAUACAUGCUUAUCCAAAAGCCUUGGCAGAUCCGAUGGAGAAAAUGAGAGACCUUCCAUUGAUAUCAAAUCCAAGGGAGAACAUGUGUUUUCCACCAUUCCUUCACAAGGGAGUGUGAUUGGUCCUCAUGUUGAUCGUAUACGAUCAAAUGACUCUCUCUCACAGUCUUUACCUGAAGAGCAUAUGGGACUUUGUCCCAAUGAUUCUUGUGGUUCCAGAGGAAUCAUUUGUGGUGCUAAUGAACUCCAAUCAGUAGCAAUGGAUGACUCGGUCAUGGCUACUACAAUUAGAAUAACUUCCAAGGAAAGCAAUCUCAAAGAAGAAGGGUUAAAUCUUUUCAGCAUUGGACCAUGCAAGAAAUUGUCUUCCUUUUGGACCCAGGAUUCAAUAGAUGGAGUGGAAGGAGGGAAAGUAGAACAUGCUCUGAUCAUAGAACCAUUCAAAAGCCGUUGGCUUGGGGGAUGGACAGGGAAGGAAGCCGGAAUGAAUGCAGAUAGCACCUGCAAGAGAAACAAUGGCAUGCCAAAUCUGUUUGUUGGAGAGACUAGCUUCUUUUCGGAGUCGGUUGAAGUUGUAGAUGAGUGCUCCUCUGUGCACAAACAGGAGACCAGGCUUGAUAUUGGUACCUCAGGCUUGCAGCAUGGAGAUUUAUGUAGCAAUAUUGACAAUGAGAUCACAUUCUCUCAAACAACCCUAGUGAGAUUGUCUAACAGUUACCAGAUUGACCCACUUUGCUCUUUUGUAGCAUGCAGCAUUGAUGUAGAGAAUGCCCAUUUAGGUUUGUCUCCCAAUCAGCAAAAUAAUAGAGAGGAAUAUGGGAAAGAUUCCAAUUUGAAUAAUGAGGAACUUGUGGAGAUUGAGAGCCUGGAUCCAAGUACGAUGUUGCCAAGUUCUGAAGUGGCAACGAGCCCCAUGGCUUCUACCCAUCCUGUCCAGCAUGUACAACUGGAGCCUGAAGAUUCUGGGCACAUGAAGCGCACAGAAAUGUUCUCUUUGAAGAAUUAUAGCACGAGAGCUCCUAAUGGAACAGUUUGUUGGGAGGCACAAGGAGUUGAUGUUUCUGUGGGUAGUAGGUCUUCUCUAAUUAACACAACAGAAAACAAUAUCUUUUCGUCUUAUUCAAAUUGUGAUCAUUCUAGGUCUUCAAAGCAUCAUAAUAGUUUGUAUUCCAUAGGCAUUCUUAAUUCAAAGCUCUCUUCCAUGUGCAUGGACGUGGGCAAUUGCCGAACUUCAAACUUUCAAUUUGGUAAACAAACUGAACGAAAUCAACUAAACUCUACCACUAAUAACGAGUUCCUGGAGUCAGAAGCUGAUACCCUAAAUUGUGAUAGAACUGCAAAUGAUGGAAUCAAAGUUCAGUCUGACCCCCUUGAGGGAGAUCAAUCACCUUCAAUUUUGAAUUUUGGGAAACGAAGAAGGGUGUAUAGAACUAUUGAAAGUAAGGAAUCUGAAGAAGAUAGCCAGCAAAAGGCUUCAAUAUCAUAUAUGAGGAAAUUCAUAUCUUCAAAUGACAAGGAGGUGAAUAAUGGGGGCUGUGAAGAAUAUGCUUCAUGUGUAGCCUUUCAUUCCCAUCAAGAUGAAGGCAAGAAUUUGAAGAGAAAGAGAGUUCGUUUCUCUGAGGCAGACAUCAGACUUCACCAAUAUUCUACUUGCCAAAAGUCAACCUCCCAAGUUCUAAAAUGUUUGAGUAGGACAACCAGUUCGAACCGUACUGCUGAACUACCCAAAAAGCAGAAUAGGAAAUCCAGUAGAAGGGGAAAGGCAUCGGCAUCUAUCAUCUCAUCCAAGCAAGGAUCUGAAAAUGGAAAAUGCUAUCCUACCGCAAAUUGCAGGUCUCAAAAGGGACUGAUAUUUCAAGGCCUUGAGUUCAUGUUGACAGGAUUUUCAAGUAAGAAGAGGAGAGAAUUUGAAAUGCUAAUCAGGAAAAAUGGAGGAGUUGUCCUCUGUCAUAUUCCAGCACCUUCUAUAAAUAUACGCGGCAAGAGGGUGACAUGGUACAAGAACCAAAAACUACCUAUUAUCCUUUCCCCAGAAAAGGUGCAAACAAGUAAGUUCUUGUAUGGUUGUGCUAUAAAUACUGCCCUGCUGAAACCAUCCUGGCUCACUGAUUCCAUUGCGGCUGGUUUUGUAUUACCGCCUGAAAGAUAUAAAGUUAUCUCAAGUCAUUCUUCUGAAAAAAAGCAGAUGGAACGUGGUCAGUCAAAUCCCCGUUCUAAUCACAUGUACAUUUUUGAAAGGUUAGGGAUCAUGCUCUAUGGGAAGCUUUCUUUCUGUACCAAAAUGGCAACAGUUAUAAAGCAUGGAGGUGGUCAGGUUUUCAAAACCAUGAAAUGGCUAGUCGAAAGCUUAAGGAACAGGAAUAACACCAUGGGCAUUAUCAUCAUUGAAGAUGCAGGAAGAGCAACACGGCACCUUAGGCAUUGUGCAUCUGAACACAAGCUGCCAGUGAUGCCUUCAAGCUGGAUUAUAAACAGCCUACUCUUGGGAAGGCUACUCCCAACCCAAGAGAAUGACCCUUGUGAUAUUCCUCGUACAGCAAAAGCAACCACCAUUUCAGAAGCUAUAGAGGAAAGUGAAGAAAUAUGACGGACCAGAUAUCAGUUAUAACUAUAUAAAUUUCCAUUCAAAACCCCAAUUAUACGUGCCUUGUUUGCUUGAAAUUCGGGUGUUGAAGUCUCCAGACAAGACUGAACCCAAUCUGCUUGGAACUUCAAUGUUCCAUAAAACCAUGGGUGAUUGAGACGAGAUUCUCUACCAUUCGGCAGUCAUGUAUGUAUAUGUAUAUCAGCAAGCAUGCAUGAUUAAGUGCUUUUGAUGGUCCCUACCGGCUUCCAUGAUUUUCUCAGAAUUGACAAGUUGGUGGAAAGACCAAAUAACCAAAGUCCAAAUUGUGAUAACUAUAAGAACACCAUAUUUGCUCCCCUAAAGCAUGGUGCCAGAACAUACAAGUUCCUUUGAGGAUAGAACAACUUGAAACUACCAGCUCCUUUUAUCAAUGGAUUUUGCAGUGAGGGCUAAAGUUACAGAAAAUAAGACAUGCAGGUUAGUGAACCACAAACCCUUUUCAAGAAUACAUUGCUAACUCUCGGGCACGAUCCUGCAUUUGUUAUAUAAAGAAAUAAAAGAAAACAAAAGUAUGGUACCGAGGAAGAUGGCCGGCUUCAAAAUUGCCCUCCACACACAACUUCUGGAGCUUGGUAGCCAGGUUUUCAAGGAUCGAUUAGCUAGGUUUCUUGGGUCCUUUCUUCAAUUAUAGGGAGCAAAGUUGAAAGAAAAUAAAAAAGUCAUGUGCAGCUGGACCUGUGUGUGAAAUUUACAACAAAUUCGACCUCCAUGUGAUA